RNAcentral lists this long non-coding RNA (464 nucleotides) under Dermacentor andersoni. RNAcentral's name for it is "uncharacterized LOC126526645". Lineage: Eukaryota; Metazoa; Arthropoda; Arachnida; Ixodida; Ixodidae. The record is from RNAcentral.
UUCUGCCCUCCUGCAUGCUUAUGUAGCCUACUGCAUGGCGAACUUUCAUUCUUGUUUUCCUCCUUUUUCUGUUAUUGACGGCGAUGCUCUUCCGAGAGAAGGAAAGGUCGUAUAGAUAGGGUUGACCCAAGGCAGCCCUGAUUGACUACCCAGUUCUGAUUUGGGGAGGGGGACAUGCAGAAGAGAGCCGAAGAGAAAGAUGAGCAGAAACGAGGUAACCGCGCACACCAUACAGCCGUAAGUCAGCCAUGAAGGCGUGCUGACUCAACAAAGUUGAACGGAGCUGUGUGCCGCUUUUGUGAAUGUAUCUUGUUGCGCAUAGAAAGUGAUGCGGACGAGUGCUUUCGUGACGACUGAACUCGCAGAGAGACAGACGCCCACAACUACCAGCUUUUGGAACGCUAUCAUGUAAGCACGUCACCGCAUACGCGAGAAAAUAUUUCCAAGGAUGUUAGGAUGAAAAA